Long non-coding RNA from Gigantopelta aegis, 2094 nucleotides. RefSeq lists it as uncharacterized. The transcript is spliced from 2 exons. NCBI's taxonomy places the organism in Eukaryota, Metazoa, Mollusca, Gastropoda, Neomphalida, Peltospiridae. The record is from RefSeq and is a predicted model, not a curated record.
UUCAUUGUUUUGUUUUAUUUGUGUAACAAAUAAUCAAGAUAUUGCUGUUAUGAUCCUGAAAUACAACAUGAACACCACCGAUGUUAUUAACUGAUAUUAAUUUCAUAAAAAAUACUUUCAUUUCAUAACAUUUUAAAAUAAUGGUAAAGAUAUAUACAAACAUUCAAAUAUAUACAUAAACUAUCACAUAUGAAAUGGGUUUUGCUUUUUGUUUUAAAUGAAAUCAGGGAACAAUAUUUCAAAAUCUUAGGCAACUGGUACACAUGAUUUUCAUCUAGGUAACUCAUUGAUUGGUUACACAAAUUCUAUUUGCAUAGGAAAUAAAGUUCUUAUGAUCCUGAAUGAAGUGUGUAACUUUUAACUGUAGAAUGUAAAGGUUCACCAUGUAACCAACUAGCAGUUCAUAUGAAUUUAAAAUUGCAUAACCGACAAGCGAAAUGACCAAUGUUUAGCAAUAAAAUAUUGUGCCCUGUGAUAGUAUAACAGAAAUCAGUUGAAAUCAUUAGUGGUGGAUUGUUUGUUAUACCUACAACAGUUUUACAAAAUUGCAACCAACAAAAUGCAUCUGAAAUAUUCUAAAACUUAUGUUCAAUUAAGAUCAAAGCACAGUGUUCUUGAUAUGGAUCUGAUGCAUAGGUUUACUUUAGCAUCUAUUUUAAUUAAUUAAGUCUUAAAAAGGAGACCUACUUCAGAAUACAGACUACUCCUACUGACAAAUAGCAAGGAACAGAAUAGCAGUGACAUACCGCUGAUUUUGAUAAAACAUGUUAUGGAGAAUGUUCUUGAAACAAGGUUUUUCCAUUAGUACAACCAGCCUUUAUAUACACACCAAAUGAUGGUGUGUUUAGAAAGGACUUGAUAAUUAGCACAACUAGGAGGUCUGCUAUGGAUAUAUUCACAAACUGGGAUGUGUUUAGCAAAGACUUGAUAAGUAGCACAACUAGGUCUACUAUGGAUAUAUUCACCAACUGGAUGUGUUUAGCAAAGACUUGAUAAGUAGCACAACUAGGAGGUCUGCUAUGGAUAUAUUCACCAACUGGGAUGAUGCUUAGCAAAGACUUGAUAAGUAGCACAACUAGGAGGUCUGCUAUGGAUAUAUUCACCAACUGGGAUGAUGCUUAGCAAAGACUUGAUAAGUAGCACAACUAGGAGGUCUGCUACAGAUAUAUACACCAACUGGGAUGUGCUUAGCAAAGACUUGAUAAGUAGCACAACUAGGAGGUCUGCUAUGGAUAUAUUCACCAACUGGGAUGAUGUUUAGCAAAGACUUGAUAAGUAGCACAACUAGGAGGUCUGCUACGGAUAUAUUCACCAACUGGGAUGAUGUUUAGCAAAGACUUGAUAAGUAGCACAACUAGGAGGUCUGCUAGGGAUAUAUUCACCAACUGGGAUGUGUUUAGCAAAGACUUGAUAAGUAGCACAACUAGGAGGUCUGCUAGGGAUAUAUUCACCAACUGGGAUGAUGUUUAGCAAAGACUUGAUAAGUAGCACAACUAGGAGGUCUGCUACGGAUAUAUUCACCAACUGGGAUGAUGUUUAGCAAAGACUUGAUAAGUAGCACAACUAGGAGGUCUGCUAAGGAUAUAUUCACCAACUGGGAUGAUGUUUAGCAAAGACUUGAUAAGUAGCACAACUAGGAGGUCUGCUACGGAUAUAUUCACCAACUGGGAUGAUGUUUAGCAAAGACUUGAUAAGUAGCACAACUAGGAGGUCUGCUAUGGAUAUAUUCACCAACUGGGAUGAUGUUUAGCAGACUUGAUAAGUAGCACAACUAGGAGGUCUGCUACGGAUAUAUACACCAACUGGGAUGUGUUUAGCAAAGACUUGAUAAGUAGCACAACUAGGAGGUCUGCUACGGAUAUAUUCACCAACUGGGAUGAUGUUUAGCAAAGACUUGAUAAGUAGCACAACUAGGAGGUCUGCUACGGAUAUAUUCACCAACUGGGAUGAUGUUUAGCAAAGACUUGAUAAGUAGCACAACUAGGAGGUCUGCUAUGGAUAUAUUCACCAACUGGGAUGUGUUUAGCAAAGACUUGAUAAGUAGCACAACUAGGAGGUCUGCUAUGGAUAUAUUCACCAACUGGGAUGAUGUUU